ACUUGAGAAUCACUGGAGACUUCCUGGAGGUGGCAAUCACUGACUUGAAUCUUGAACCAUGUGUAAGAGUUGGGCAGGUGAAGAAUGACACCAGACUCUUUCCUGCUUUGGCGUAUGCCCUGAGUGCUUGGAAAUCCCUAAAUGGACCAGAGCAAGGACACUCCGUAGCGGCUGAACACGAAGACGGGACUCCACUGGGAUGACCUUUGAUUCUUGGCAGAGGAUAGCGAUUUCA
Prionailurus viverrinus (fishing cat) is the source of this 235-nucleotide long non-coding RNA. RefSeq lists it as uncharacterized. The transcript has 3 exons. NCBI's taxonomy places the organism in Eukaryota, Metazoa, Chordata, Mammalia, Carnivora, Felidae. The record is from RefSeq and is a predicted model, not a curated record.